GCAAGUGGGAAGGCACCGUACCGAGGUGCUUAGCCGAGCUGAGAAACGGAUUUGGUCAGGAGUGCGGGUGUAGAGUCGAGACUCCAGAUUGGAUCAGAAAACUGAAGCACAUAGCGAGGCAGCCCGGGAGCCAAGGGUAGAAGCAUCACUGCCCAUCAUCACAGCCCAAGAGUCCUCCCUCCAGACUCCUGCCAGCCCCCAAGAGACUCACAUCUGUCUUCACAUCGAUUUUGCCAGGUUUCAGGGUCUGGUCCUCACGGACAACACUACUGGGGAAAUAGCCCAGGCGAGCCGCCAGAUCUCCAUAGUAAUCUCCCUGAACCUGGAAAGGAAGAAUCAAAAGCCAGGGUCUGGGAAGAUGGCAAAUUUAUUCCUGCUGAAGACCUUUGUACAUUUUUUUCUUCCUGGUCUUCAGCUGGCCCGCUCCAUCCUUGUCACUCAGAUCUCAGCUUCAAGGCACUUGCAUGGAUGCCCUCCCUGACCACCUGAGGUAGUCACCCAGUCUGUACUCAUUUCUCAAAGGAGCAUGUAUUUGCUGAUGUUUUUUGAUGGCUUGUCUCUUUCCAUGAGAAUAAAAGGAAUCAUCCACCGUUAGUUCUUU
Molecule: long non-coding RNA, 601 nt
Organism: Suricata suricatta (meerkat)
Lineage: Eukaryota; Metazoa; Chordata; Mammalia; Carnivora; Herpestidae
Exons: 2
Source: RefSeq, a predicted model, not a curated record